UCCUACGGGGGGCAGCAGUGGGGAAUAUUGCACAAUGGGGGGGACCCUGAUGCAGCGACGCCGCGUGAAGGAAGAAGUAUCUCGGUAUGUAAACUUCUAUCAGCAGGGAAGAAAGAAAUGACGGUACCUGACCAAGAAGCCCCGGCUAACUACGUGCCAGCAGCCGCGGUAAUACGUAUGGGGCAAGCGUUAUCCGGAUUUACUGGGUGUAAAGGGAGCGUAGGCGGCCUGACAAGCCUGAUGUGAAAUACCGGGGCCCAACCCCGGGGCUGCAUUGGGAACUGCCAGGCUGGAGUGCCGGAGAG
RNAcentral lists this ribosomal RNA (305 nucleotides) under uncultured bacterium. RNAcentral's name for it is "bacterial SSU rRNA". It matches the Rfam family "Bacterial small subunit ribosomal RNA", at positions 337 to 656 of the family's 1533-position model. The record is from RNAcentral.